UACAGAGGUCCCAAGCGUUGUUCGGAUUCAUUGGGCGUAAAGGGUGCGUAGGUGGCGCCGUAAGUGGGGUGUGAAAUUUCGGAGCUUAACUCCGAAACUGCAUUCCAUACUGCGGUGCUUGAGGACUGGAGAGGAGACUGGAAUUUACGGUGUAGCGGUGAAAUGCGUAGAUAUCGUAAGGAAGACCAGUGGCGAAGGCGGGUCUCUGGACAGUUCCUGACGCUGAGGCGCGAAAGCUAGGGGAGCGAACAGG
RNAcentral lists this ribosomal RNA (253 nucleotides) under uncultured bacterium. Its description in RNAcentral is "partial 16S ribosomal RNA". It matches the Rfam family "Bacterial small subunit ribosomal RNA", at positions 524 to 776 of the family's 1533-position model. The record is from RNAcentral.